This 433-nucleotide ribosomal RNA is filed under the name uncultured bacterium. Its description in RNAcentral is "partial 16S ribosomal RNA". It matches the Rfam family "Bacterial small subunit ribosomal RNA", at positions 29 to 507 of the family's 1533-position model. The record is from RNAcentral.
AACGAACGCUGGCGGCAUGCCUAACACAUGCAAGUCGAACGAGACCUUCGGGUCUAGUGGCGCACGGGUGCGUAACGCGUGGGAACCUGCCCUUAGGUUCGGAAUAACUCCCCGAAAGGGGUGCUAAUACCGGAUAAUGUCUUCGGACCAAAGAUUUAUCGCCUUUGGAUGGGCCCGCGUUGGAUUAGCUGGUUGGUAGGGUAAAAGCCUACCAAGGCGACGAUCCAUAGCUGGUCUGAGAGGAUGAUCAGCCACACUGGGACUGAGACACGGCCCAGACUCCUACGGGAGGCAGCAGUGGGGAAUAUUGGACAAUGGGCGAAAGCCUGAUCCAGCAAUGCCGCGUGAGUGAUGAAGGCCUUAGGGUUGUAAAGCUCUUUUACCCGGGAUGAUAAUGACAGUACCGGGAGAAUAAGCUCCGGCUAACUCCGUG